AUUGAACGCUGGCGGCAGGCCUAACACAUGCAAGUCGAACGGUAACAGGAAGAAGCUUGCUUCUUUGCUGACGAGUGGCGGACGGGUGAGUAAUGUCUGGGAAACUGCCUGAUGGAGGGGGAUAACUACUGGAAACGGUAGCUAAUACCGCAUAACGUCGCAAGACCAAAGAGGGGGACCUUCGGGCCUCUUGCCAUCGGAUGUGCCCAGAUGGGAUUAGCUAGUAGGUGGGGCAACGGCUCACCUAGGCGACGAUCCCUAGCUGGUCUGAGAGGAUGACCAGCCACACUGGAACUGAGACACGGUCCAGACUCCUACGGGAGGCAGCAGUGGGGAAUAUUGCACAAUGGGCGCAAGCCUGAUGCAGCCAUGCCGCGUGUAUGAAGAAGGCCUUCGGGUUGUAAAGUACUUUCAGCGGGGAGGAAGGGAGUAAAGUUAAUACCUUUGCUCAUUGACGUUACCCGCAGAAGAAGCACCGGCUAACUCCGUG
RNAcentral lists this ribosomal RNA (490 nucleotides) under uncultured bacterium. RNAcentral's name for it is "partial 16S ribosomal RNA". It matches the Rfam family "Bacterial small subunit ribosomal RNA", at positions 30 to 507 of the family's 1533-position model. The record is from RNAcentral.